UACGUAGGGGGCUAGCGUUGUCCGGAAUCAUUGGGCGUAAAGAGCGUGUAGGCGGUCCGGUAAGUCCGCUGUGAAAGUCGGGGGCUCAACCCUCGAAUGCCGGUGGAUACUGUCGGGCUAGAGUGCGGAAGAGGCGAGUGGAAUUCCUGGUGUAGCGGUGAAAUGCGCAGAUAUCAGGAGGAACACCUAUUGCGAAGGCAGCUCGCUGGGACGUAACUGACGCUGAGACGCGAAAGCGUGGGGAGCAUACAGG
Molecule: ribosomal RNA, 253 nt
Filed under: uncultured bacterium
Lineage: Bacteria
Description: partial 16S ribosomal RNA
Rfam family: Bacterial small subunit ribosomal RNA
Source: RNAcentral